GCAUUGGUGUUUCAGUGGUAGAAUCUUUGUCUCCCACGCAAGAGACCUAGGUUCGAUUCCCGACCAAAGUA
Molecule: transfer RNA, 71 nt
Filed under: Loxodonta africana (African savanna elephant)
Lineage: Eukaryota; Metazoa; Chordata; Mammalia; Proboscidea; Elephantidae
Rfam family: tRNA
About the family: Transfer RNA (tRNA) molecules are approximately 80 nucleotides in length.
Source: Rfam by way of RNAcentral